UGCGCCCGGUGAAUCAUCCAGCGUUCUCGCUGGUGCACUUUGCCGGGCACAGGCCAGCAUCAGUUUGGCGCGGGGAACAAAGGCUUCGGGAAUGUGGCUCCCUCGGGAGUGUUAUAGCCCGCUGCGUAAUACCCUGCGCCGGACUGAGGUACGCGCAUCGCAAGGAUGCUGGCGUAAUGGUCAUCAGCG
This 189-nucleotide ribosomal RNA is filed under the name Beauveria bassiana. Its description in RNAcentral is "partial 28S ribosomal RNA D2 region". The record is from RNAcentral. Lineage: Eukaryota; Fungi; Ascomycota; Sordariomycetes; Hypocreales; Cordycipitaceae.